This 402-nucleotide transfer-messenger RNA is filed under the name Streptomyces minutiscleroticus. RNAcentral's name for it is "Standard tmRNA". It matches the Rfam family "transfer-messenger RNA". Rfam says of the family: Bacterial tmRNA, also known as 10Sa RNA or SsrA, is named for its dual tRNA and mRNA-like properties. Its role is to liberate the mRNA from a stalled ribosome. To accomplish this part of the tmRNA is used as a reading frame that ends in a translation stop signal. Lineage: Bacteria; Bacillati; Actinomycetota; Actinomycetes; Kitasatosporales; Streptomycetaceae. The record is from Rfam by way of RNAcentral.
GGGGAUGAUCGGUUUCGACAGCGGAUGUCGAAGCAGGGGAAGCGUGUCGAGGAAGCGGCAAUGAUCUCGUAAACCAUAUGUCGCAAAAAAUAAUCGCCAAUACCAAGCGCGAUUCCUCCCAGCAGGCCUUCGCCCUCGCUGCCUGAUCUCAGGUAGCAGAGCGAGCCUCCUACUAAAGGGAGUGUCAGCCCGGGGCCGUUCCCGACCCGGAUCCUGGCAUCAGCUAGGGAACUAAACCUCUAGGCCCGGUCACGGGGUCGAGAGGGAAACCAAACAGUGACUGAGCCCGUCGGAGACUUGUUCGCGUGAUCUCCGGGGCCGAGAAAAGCGCAGCGAACUGCACACGGAGAAGCCCUGGUUCUGCACCGUUGGACGCGGGUUCGAUUCCCGCCAUCUCCACCA